Podarcis lilfordi (Lilford's wall lizard) is the source of this 488-nucleotide non-coding RNA. NCBI's taxonomy places the organism in Eukaryota, Metazoa, Chordata, Lepidosauria, Squamata, Lacertidae. The record is from the annotation of a GenBank genome assembly.
AAGCCCUAGGUUCUUUGGUUUAGACCACAGCGCCACCCACUAGUCACCUGCUAAUUUAUGUGAUAAAAGCUUACCUUAGUGAUCUGAAGCAUUAAGCACUUCCACAGAUAUUGAUUUCUGUGUUUUAUACCCCUUUGCUGCCACACUGCAAACCUCUCUCAGAAUGGCAAUCUCUUGAACAUUAAUAAAAACAAAUCAAUAAAACAACUCUUAACAGUAAGGCACAACAGCACAAAACGCAACACAACAUGGUCAGUUAAAAAAAGUAUCAGAUGGAACUAGAGAUGGACAAGUUGGUCAAUUUUGUUUCUCCCUCAUUUCUCAUUUUUCCAGUUGUAAGUUCACUUCUCCACAUUUCCACAUCAGUCUGUGUUUUUAAUGAGUGAUGUUUUAAUGUACUUUUAAUCUUUUGUUGGAAGCCGCCCAGAGUGGCUGGGGAAACCCAGUCAGAUGGGUGGGGUAUAAAUAAUAAAUUAUCAUUAUUAUUC